Molecule: long non-coding RNA, 237 nt
Organism: Balaenoptera musculus (blue whale)
Lineage: Eukaryota; Metazoa; Chordata; Mammalia; Artiodactyla; Balaenopteridae
Exons: 3
Source: RefSeq, a predicted model, not a curated record
AGGAGCGCAAGUCAAGAAGGAUUUCAGGGGUAUUGUUCCAUUUCAAUUUACCAGGUUUUUCCUCAUUCAUGAGAUGUGAGCCUCAACUGAUUUGUAACCGGUUGUGAAACAGUAAUCACUUGUAUUGCUGCCAGAAAGUUCUCUGCAGGAUAAAAGAAUUCUUUGGACUCCUCGAAGAAUAACUUCCAGCGAGCCCAAGCAGACACUCGUUUGGACGCAGUGAAGAAGGGCGUUGAG